UGGGGAAUAUUGGGGCAAUGGGGGCGCAAGUCUGACCCAGCAACGCCGCGUGAAGGAAGAAGGCUUUCGGGUUGUAAACUUCUUUUAAGGGGGAACAGUAGAAGACGGUACCUGACUAAGAAGCCCCGGCUAACUACGUGCCAGCAGCCGCGGUAAUACGUAGGGGGCAAGCGUUAUCCGGAUUUACUGGGUGUAAAGGGAGCGUAGACGGUUUUGCAAGUCUGAAGUGAAAGCCCGGGGCUUAACCCCGGGACUGCUUUGGAAACUGUAGGACUAGAGUGCAGGAGAGGUAAGUGGAAUUCCUAGUGUAGCGGUGAAAUGCGUAGAUAUUAGGAGGAACACCAGUGGCGAAGGCGGCUUACUGGACUGUAACUGACGUUGAGGCUCGAAAGCGUGGGGAGCAAACAGGAUUAGAUACCCUGGUAGU
RNAcentral lists this ribosomal RNA (427 nucleotides) under uncultured Clostridium sp. RNAcentral describes it as "bacterial SSU rRNA". It matches the Rfam family "Bacterial small subunit ribosomal RNA", at positions 355 to 794 of the family's 1533-position model. Lineage: Bacteria; Bacillati; Bacillota; Clostridia; Eubacteriales; Clostridiaceae. The record is from RNAcentral.